CCUGCUCCAGAGGAUAUCAGCUCCCUGCCUGCGGGGGUCUUAUCUGUCACCAGUGAACUCCCCAGGCCUGGCCUGGUGCCUAUCACAGAUCUCUGGUGAGCAAAUCAAGAAAUGAAUGAAAAGAAGCAACUGAAGAACUGGGUCUAUUUCCAUGUUAACCAGCAAAGGUCAGACAGGGCAGGGCGAUGGUGACCGAUAGCGAGUGUCCCCCACCACUGCCAUCCUGAAGGUGGACGAGCAGAACGUGAGCUGGAGUCUCCUCGCCCCCCACCGCCCCUCUCCGGAUGGACAGGGUACAAAGCCCUCUUGGCCGGGGCCGCGGCUGGGCCCAUGAAACAGCUCUUUCAGCUCCGUCGCUGAAUGGCAGGUCUAUGGGCUGCUUGGAGGAACACAAGCGCCUUCUCUGUGUCACUUUGCUCAUUAGUGAAGCCACAGAAAUAUGCUACAGCAUCAGGAUAUUUCCCAAUGAGAGAGAUGGCUCUUCGCAUCAGGUGGCCAAAGUAUUGGGAGUUUCAGCUUCAGCAUCAGUCCUUCCAAUGAAUACUCAGGCUUGAUUUCGUUUAGGAUUGACUGGUUUGAUCUCCUUGAUAUCCAAGAGACUCUCAAGAGUCUUCUCCAACACCAUAGCUCGAAAGCAUCAAUUCUUC
This is a long non-coding RNA of Bos taurus (domestic cattle), 647 nucleotides long. The record is from Ensembl. NCBI's taxonomy places the organism in Eukaryota, Metazoa, Chordata, Mammalia, Artiodactyla, Bovidae.